GGCCUCUUGGCGGAACUGGUAGACGCGCACGACUCAAAAUCGUGUGUCCUUCGGACAUCCGAGUUCGAUUCUCGGAGAGGCCACCA
RNAcentral lists this transfer RNA (86 nucleotides) under Oligoflexia bacterium. RNAcentral's name for it is "tRNA-Leu". It matches the Rfam family "tRNA". Rfam says of the family: Transfer RNA (tRNA) molecules are approximately 80 nucleotides in length. Their secondary structure includes four short double-helical elements and three loops (D, anti-codon, and T loops). The record is from RNAcentral. Lineage: Bacteria; Pseudomonadati; Bdellovibrionota; Oligoflexia.